AGAAAUAAUAAUUUUUUGUAACACGUUGAAAAUCUAUACGACAAAUAUUUAAAACUUUAUGACUAAACAGAUCGCUGAAUGUAGACGUACAUAGAGAACCUCACGUGACGUCACACAAGCAGGUAAUGCAUCGUAGAUAUCAAUGCUAGUAACAACGCAAAGAAAGGAUAAAUUAGAAAGAUCCAAAUGCCAAAGUUAGAUAUGUAUGAUUAGAUUAUGGAAUUUAGAGGAAAAUACAAAUCGCUACGCGUCUAUGAUGACCCAGCAUUGGCCAAAAUAUGUUUAUUACAGGACAGCAGAAUAUUAUCAGAAAGAUGUGUACGGUCGAUUGGAACGCAUGCGCAAGGUAGGUGGUACUAAACACGUGGAAAUACAAGAAAACAACAUUAAUUUCUCAAUAAUUAUUAAAAUAUAUAAGUAUAGAAAUGUCAAUUAAUAUUACUUUAUAUUUUUCGUUAUUAUUUUAAUUAAAUCUUGAUUUUUUUUCCAAAC
RNAcentral lists this long non-coding RNA (492 nucleotides) under Androctonus crassicauda. Lineage: Eukaryota; Metazoa; Arthropoda; Arachnida; Scorpiones; Buthidae. The record is from RNAcentral.